RNAcentral lists this non-coding RNA (29 nucleotides) under Cricetulus griseus (Chinese hamster). The record is from RNAcentral. Lineage: Eukaryota; Metazoa; Chordata; Mammalia; Rodentia; Cricetidae.
GUAAGAGCCACAGUCCUUGUUCUGUAAGG